This 312-nucleotide long non-coding RNA is filed under the name Capsicum annuum. Its description in RNAcentral is "long non-coding RNA (CANN_LNC017620)". Lineage: Eukaryota; Viridiplantae; Streptophyta; Magnoliopsida; Solanales; Solanaceae. The record is from RNAcentral.
AAAAAUCCCUCUUUUUUUUUUUUUUUUUUUUGACAAAUGAGUGCAAAAGGUCAAAAAAAAACCUUUUUGAAUUUUGAAAAACAAAAGCCAUAAAGAACUCUAAAAACUAUGAGACCCUCUUUUUAUUUUUGAUUCACUUUCCUUUCUUUUUCCUAUCUUCUUCUUUUUCUUCUUUCUUCCUUUUUUUUUCCUUUUUUUUCAAAUGUUUUGUCUAUACGCUUCAAUUUUAACACAUGUUUUCCCGAAAUCAGUCCAUCAAAUGACUACAUUAUCCUCAAAGAUGCAACAUUUAGCACGUAGAGAUGCUUUAGA